AUUGAACGCUGGCGGCAGGCCUAACACAUGCAAGUCGAACGGUAACAGGAAGAAGCUUGCUUCUUUGCUGACGAGUGGCGGACGGGUGAGUAAUGUCUGGGAAACUGCCUGAUGGAGGGGGAUAACUACUGGAAACGGUAGCUAAUACCGCAUAACGUCGCAAGACCAAAAAGGGGGACCUUCGGGCCUCUUGCCAUCGGAUGUGCCCAGAUGGGAUUAGCUAGUAGGUGGGGUACCGGCUCACCUAGGCGACGAUCCCUAGCUGGUCUGAGAGGAUGACCAGCCACACUGGAACUGAGACACGGUCCAGACUCCUACGGGAGGCAGCAGUGGGGAAUAUUGCACAAUGGGCGCAAGCCUGAUGCAGCCAUGCCGCGUGUAUGAAGAAGGCCUUCGGGUUGUAAAGUACUUUCAGCGGGGAGGAAGGGAGUAAAGUUAAUACCUUUGCUCAUUGACGUUACCCGCAGAAGAAGCACCGGCUAACUCCGUG
This 490-nucleotide ribosomal RNA is filed under the name uncultured bacterium. Its description in RNAcentral is "partial 16S ribosomal RNA". It matches the Rfam family "Bacterial small subunit ribosomal RNA", at positions 30 to 507 of the family's 1533-position model. The record is from RNAcentral.